GGAAGGUCCUGCAAGAGACAACAUCACAUGCUUAUACCAAGGGACUGAGCCUUGAGGUACGGAUUGGACUUAAAAAUGGGAGCUCCUAAGCCUAAAAGGGCAAUGAAUGAUGGCUCCUUAACGAUUUGGGAAUGGACCACGAAGAGCUGUGAGGCUCUAUUGUUUUGGAGCUGGAGUGUCUUGGAUGUGAGGUGCCAGUUCAUGCUUGGAUGCGUUGCAGCUAUGAAAAAGUGAGAAGAGCAAGAAAACUUGAGGGUAUAUCCAAGGAGGAAGGAGCACAGACACACUCUCAAGAACUGUGUGUUACUUUCUACAGGUGGGGAAAUCAGCAAGAUGGGUGCCAUGACUUGACACUGACCAAGACGUGUAUGUCUGGCUAGUCCAACCAGGAUUACUUGUGGUGAAACAGAGGACAAAGGAUACCAGAUUUGGAGUCAUCAUCAUGUUUCCUGGGUUCCUUUUGCUGGGUGACCAUGUGCUCAUUUUGGAAGUGCCUUUUGUACCCUUCAGGGAUCCAGAGAUGGAGCCAGUGACAGCAAAUGUUAAAAGAUAACAGACAGAAGAUCCGUGAACGGGUUUAGCAGACCUGUGAUAUCACCAGAGGCUCCUACAGAAGGAAGUGUUCCAGCCUGGUUAACUAAGGACAUUGAUUUUUGCUUCCUUUAUGUUUCUGUGGGGUGAUGGAUUUGCUACAUGUCCAUCGAGAAGUGCUGGCUGACAAACUUAUAAUGCCAUAACAGAGAGUCUGAGUUGAGACUGCAGAGUUGAGAUACAUCAAAGAAUAUUGCUUUGGACCAGUUGCUAGCCUUGCUUGACCAAUAG
This is a long non-coding RNA of Egretta garzetta (little egret), 822 nucleotides long. RefSeq lists it as uncharacterized. NCBI's taxonomy places the organism in Eukaryota, Metazoa, Chordata, Aves, Pelecaniformes, Ardeidae. The record is from RefSeq and is a predicted model, not a curated record. The transcript has 7 exons.